Molecule: ribosomal RNA, 429 nt
Filed under: Chloroflexota bacterium
Lineage: Bacteria; Bacillati; Chloroflexota
Description: Chloroflexi bacterium partial 16S ribosomal RNA
Rfam family: Bacterial small subunit ribosomal RNA
Source: RNAcentral
UGGGGAAUAUUGCACAAUGGGCGCAAGCCUGAUGCAGCCAUGCCGCGUGUAUGAAGAAGGCCUUCGGGUUGUAAAGUACUUUCAGCGGGGAGGAAGGGAGUAAAGUUAAUACCUUUGCUCAUUGACGUUACCCGCAGAAGAAGCACCGGCUAACUCCGUGCCAGCAGCCGCGGUAAUACGGAGGGUGCAAGCGUUAAUCGGAAUUACUGGGCGUAAAGCGCACGCAGGCGGUUUGUUAAGUCAGAUGUGAAAUCCCCGGGCUCAACCUGGGAACUGCAGCUGUGACUGGCAGGCUAGAGUCUUGUAGAGGGGGGUAGAAUUCCAGGUGUAGCGGUGAAAUGCGUAGAGAUCUGGAGGAAUACCGGUGGCGAAGGCGGCCCCCUGGACAAAGACUGACGCUCAGGUGCGAAAGCGUGGGGAGCAAACAGG